CGCGAACGGGCUUGUGGUUCGGAGAAAUCGACUGAGGCUCGGGCCGAGCUUGGGGCCGGCUUGUGUCACGGGCCAAAAAUGGCCCGUGACAAUUCGGCUCGGCCCGAGCCUAAAUAAUGGAAAAAAAUAAGUUUUUAAAGUUAGCUGCACCAACGAGGUAGCUAUAGCUGCCUAUUUUACGAGGUAGCUACUACUGCCUUAUGCCUUCUACGACUCUGCCUUCC
Molecule: long non-coding RNA, 224 nt
Filed under: Olea europaea (common olive)
Lineage: Eukaryota; Viridiplantae; Streptophyta; Magnoliopsida; Lamiales; Oleaceae
Description: long non-coding RNA (OEUR_LNC015514)
Source: RNAcentral